ACUCCUGCGGGAGGCAGCAGUGGGGAAUAUUGCACAAUGGGCGCAAGCCUGAUGCAGCCAUGCCGCGUGUAUGAAGAAGGCCUUCGGGUUGUAAAGUACUUUCAGCGGGGAGGAAGGCGAUAAGGUUAAUAACCUUGUUGAUUGACGUUACCCGCAGAAGAAGCACCGGCUAACUCCGUGCCAGCAGCCGCGGUAAUACGGAGGGUGCAAGCGUUAAUCGGAAUUACUGGGCGUAAAGCGCACGCAGGCGGUCUGUCAAGUCGGAUGUGAAAUCCCCGGGCUCAACCUGGGAACUGCAUUCGAAACUGGCAGGCUAGAGUCUUGUAGAGGGGGGUAGAAUUCCAGGUGUAGCGGUGAAAUGCGUAGAGAUCUGGAGGAAUACCGGUGGCGAAGGCGGCCCCCUGGACAAAGACUGACGCUCAGGUGCGAAAGCGUGGGGAGCAAACAGGAUUAGAAACCCUUGUAGUCCCA
This 471-nucleotide ribosomal RNA is filed under the name uncultured organism. RNAcentral describes it as "partial 16S ribosomal RNA". It matches the Rfam family "Bacterial small subunit ribosomal RNA", at positions 335 to 797 of the family's 1533-position model. The record is from RNAcentral.